UACAGAGGUCUCAAGCGUUGUUCGGAUUCAUUGGGCGUAAAGGGUGUGUAGGUGGCGCCGUAAGUCGGGUGUGAAAUUUCGGAGCUUAACUCCGAAACUGCAUUCGAUACUGCGGUGCUUGAGGACUGGAGAGGAGACUGGAAUUCAUGGUGUAGCAGUGAAAUGCGCAGAUAUCAGGAGGAACACCGGUGGCGAAGGCGGGUCUCUGGGCCGAUACUGACGCUGAGGAGCGAAAGCGUGGGGAGCGAACAGG
RNAcentral lists this ribosomal RNA (253 nucleotides) under uncultured bacterium. RNAcentral's name for it is "partial 16S ribosomal RNA". It matches the Rfam family "Bacterial small subunit ribosomal RNA", at positions 524 to 776 of the family's 1533-position model. The record is from RNAcentral.